UUGGCUGCGAGAUAGAUUAUUUGCAUAUGGGGCGGGAUAACUGGACCCGAUUGGGGCCCGACUUGGGUGUGAGAGUGGCCGCCGCCGCCACUGAAGUUGGUCCAAGAGCUGGCGAUGGCUCUGCUCCGGGGUCGCAGGGCUCCAGGCAAGCGGUCCCCGGAACGGCCACUGUCGAAAUCAUCAAGCCCAGGGAAUCUCUGGGCAGGCAGAGGUGUGAACGUCGGCCAACAGGACCAGAGCCUACAGGACCCACCUCCUGAGGGCCACCUCUGGAACCUCCUCCAGGAAGGCAGCGGCAGCUUGAGUGCUUUUGCCUGUUUUUGCCACUUUCAGUGAGGGAGUCAGUGCCAUGGAUCUCUGUGGGCUCCUGGGACAGCCCUCUCCCAGGGACACUCCUGCUAGGUAUGCUAGCAAAAUAUCUCAAGCCCACCUGAAAGUGGAAAAGGGUACCCAGGGAAGCUGUAGGCUACCGGGCCAGGACAUCUGUAGCCAGUCCAGUCCUGGAGAUGGAAGGGCAGGCUUAGUGCAGACCUCUCUAGAUUGACACUAGUCUUCGAAGGAAACCCUGUUUUGUCACCAUGGUGGCAUCAGACUCAGUGUUCUGCACAUGGGAAGGCUUAUGUGGUCUCUUCGAGACUGCAAAGCUGACUCUCAUUGCUGGACAGCUACUUCCUGGGGAGAUCCUUUGAACUAGGGUUCUUUCUUCCACUUCUGUGCUGGAAAUGAACAAAGCCACUGAGACUAGGAGGGGCCCUAGCAGAGCCUGGCCCUGACCUCUGGAUGGAUUGCCCACCCCAUACUGAUAGCUGGCAAGGUCCUAACAUCACCUGUGUAGGGUAGCUCACUUAGCCAGGUCCUGCCCUGCCACGGACCAGACGUGUGAACAGCUUGUCUGUUCCUCACCUUAGCAUGUUUUACACCAUUGUUUGUUUCCAAUGUAAAGUUGUAAAUUCCAAAGUAAACUUUCCGUUAACUCAAA
Long non-coding RNA from Meriones unguiculatus (Mongolian gerbil), 979 nucleotides. RefSeq lists it as uncharacterized. The record is from RefSeq and is a predicted model, not a curated record. The transcript has 2 exons. Lineage: Eukaryota; Metazoa; Chordata; Mammalia; Rodentia; Muridae.